Molecule: ribosomal RNA, 18 nt
Filed under: Gyrodactylus medaka
Lineage: Eukaryota; Metazoa; Platyhelminthes; Monogenea; Gyrodactylidea; Gyrodactylidae
Description: partial 28S ribosomal RNA
Source: RNAcentral
CCUGACCUCGAUCAAGCG